ACAGGGAUUGCCCUAGUAACGGCGAGUGAAGCGGCAACAGCUCAAAUUUGAAAUCUGGCGUCUUUGGCGUCCGAGUUGUAAUUUGCAGAGGGCGCUUUGGCAUUGGCAGCGGUCCAAGUUCCUUGGAACAGGACGUCACAGAGGGUGAGAAUCCCGUACGUGGUCGCUAGCCUUUACCGUGUAAAGCCCCUUCGACGAGUCGAGUUGUUUGGGAAUGCAGCUCUAAAUGGGAGGUAAAUUUCUUCUAAAGCUAAAUACUGGCCAGAGACCGAUAGCGCACAAGUAGAGUGAUCGAAAGAUGAAAAGCACUUUGGAAAGAGAGUUAAAAAGCACGUGAAAUUGUUGAAAGGGAAGCGCUUGCAGCCAGACUUGCCUGUAGUUGCUCAUCCGGGUUUUUACCCGGUGCACUCUUCUACAGGCAGGCCAGCAUCAGUUUGGGCGGUUGGAUAAAGGUCUCUGUCAUGUACCUCUCUUCGGGGAGAACUUAUAGGGGAGACGACAUGCAACCAGCCUGGACUGAGGUCCGCGCAUCUGCUAGGAUGCUGGCGUAAUGGCUGUAAGCGGCCCGUCUUGAAACACGGACCAAGGAGUCUAACAUCUAUGCGAGUGUUUGGGUGUCAAGCCCGAGCGCGUAAUGAAAGUGAACGGAGGUGGGAACCUUUCGGGGUGCACCAUCGACCGAUCCUGAUGUCUUCGGAUGGAUUUGAGUAAGAGCAUAGCUGUUGGGACCCGAAAGAUGGUGAACUAUGCUUGAAUAGGGUGAAGCCAGAGGAAACUCUGGUGGAGGCUCGCAGCGGUUCUGACGUGCAAAUCGAUCGUCAAAUUUGGGCAUAGGGGCGAAAGACUAAUCGAACUAUCUAGUAGCUGGUUCCUGCCGAAGUUUCCCUCAGGAUAGCAGUAACGUUUUCAGUUUUAUGAGGUAAAGCGAAUGAUUAGAGGCCUGGGGGUUGAAACAACCUU
This 960-nucleotide ribosomal RNA is filed under the name Nothophoma infuscata. Its description in RNAcentral is "partial large subunit ribosomal RNA". It matches the Rfam family "Eukaryotic large subunit ribosomal RNA", at positions 68 to 1048 of the family's 3401-position model. Lineage: Eukaryota; Fungi; Ascomycota; Dothideomycetes; Pleosporales; Didymellaceae. The record is from RNAcentral.